Long non-coding RNA from Triticum aestivum (bread wheat), 1678 nucleotides. RefSeq lists it as uncharacterized. The transcript has 10 exons. The record is from RefSeq and is a predicted model, not a curated record. NCBI's taxonomy places the organism in Eukaryota, Viridiplantae, Streptophyta, Magnoliopsida, Poales, Poaceae.
UAUACUGGCCAUGCAAAUUUCUAGGGUUUGAGGCUAUGGUGAUGGUAUGUUGUGAUAACUAGUGCCACUAUUUCUCUUUUGCUCUUUGUGUCCACAUCCAUUGUGUCGUGGUGAGCUCCGUGCUCGCCAUCGUGCCAUGGAAAGCUCUAGUCUUUUGGGCUAUGGUGAUGGCCGCCCUUUGCGUGGAUUUAGCCCCGGAGAAUAAGUUUUUUAGUUUGACUUGUGGUUUAUAGAAUCAAUUAAUACACAAUCCAGCACUAUUUCUGGUUUGUCUACCGGAUUUUUUCAUUAUUUCCAUGCAGACUAUGUAUGCGAUGCACUUGAGACUUGACCUCUACCUUUCAAGUUUUGAUAAGCUCGAAUAUUGUUAUGCUAUAAUUUUGUGUUUUGUACAUUCGAGAGAGAUCUGACUAGGCUGUUACAGGUUGAGGGAACUUGAUAAGCUCAAGUGACAUGUGGAAUUUGGUUUGCCAACUAGAAGGCGCUCGGCAUCGAGACGGUCCAGCAGUCCGUACACGGUGUGAUGAUAAAACUUCCAUGAAUGCAUCAGCUACAACUACUUGGAUGCGAUCGUUGUUGUGAUAAAGCUGCAGUGGUGGUGUAGGUUAUUCUUUGAGGUCUCCUAAUCUUCUACAACCUCGGCAGUGGUGGCUGCCUCUUCUUGGUUCAGGUUGAGGGAACUUGGUAAGCUCAAGGGACACGUGGAAGUUGGUUUGUCAACUAGAAGGCGCUCGACAUCGAGACCGUCCAGCAGUCUGUACACGGUGGGAUGAUAUGGGCUUACAUGACUGCCUCCUCAGCUACAACUACUUGGGUUUAGUCAUUUGCUAUGUGUUAAUGAUGAUGGUGAUUCUUGCAAAUGAUGUGCAAGGCAAAUUUCCAGAGUUGGAUGAAGAACUGUCAUACUGGAAGUUACUUGGUUGCUUCUAGUUGCUAUUGUCUAGUAGAUGAUAACUGAUUUACUAUGAUUUCUUAAGCUAUCUCUAGUGUUGUGCAUAAGUGUUAAGAGUGUAAAGUUUCACCAUGUUUUCCCAGGUAAUUUAGCUUAUUCUCUGAGGUAGCCUAAUCUUCUACAACCUCGGCAGUGGUGGCCACCUCUUCUUGGUUCAGAAACUGGUUGCCCAAAGCUAUUUCUUACUCGUUGACGUACUGAGAUAAACAUUGGUGGAUUCUAGGUGCACGCUCGUGUCUCAGACUCCACAGGGCACCCAGGAAAUUUAGGUUAUUCUUUGAGGUCUAAUCUUCUACAACCUCGGCAGUGGUGGCUGCCUCUUCUUGGUUCAGGUUGGCCCUGCCAACGCACGGGCGAGCCAAAAAAUUGGCAUUGCUUUUCUGCGCCUGCGUCUUGCCGUCGCGUUGGCAAGAAAUUGAACCGGAGACCCGAGGGCAGCAUUGACAACGCAUGGGCUUUGAUCCAAACACCGCUGGGGCAGUUGGUCAACGCCAAUUAUUUGGCUUGGCAGGCUGGGGCUUCGAACCAAACUGGCUCAUAGUGACUAUUCAUCAUGGUUAUACUACUGUUGGAGGUGUGAUUCUACGGAUAUGCUUCUUGGCAAUGAGAUUAUAGCUACGGGGAGAAAAAAAAAGGUGGAAGUCGCAGGCUAAGGGAAGGGAAAGGUGAUACUCCACAUGGGAUCGAUACCAGGCUGAUGGGCUCGAUCUCAGCUGGGCAGUCGAG